Molecule: long non-coding RNA, 8070 nt
Organism: Anas platyrhynchos (mallard)
Lineage: Eukaryota; Metazoa; Chordata; Aves; Anseriformes; Anatidae
Source: RefSeq, a predicted model, not a curated record
GCUAUCCUUAACUGGCCAACGAGACUCAGAUGCCAGCUAUUAUCCUACGGCAGCUAUGUGUGGCAUUAGCUGUGGGUCUUUUUUGCUGCUGAUCUAAUUUUCACAGUAGCAGUUGGGGCUUGGGAGUCAGAAAUGCUGUAGUCACUUCUCUUGCUAAACAUUUCGAUUCACUCACUGGAGGCGUGUGGAGGGUUGUUCGGAGCUGCUUUGACACCAAAGGUUUUAUUUCCAGAGACUGUCACACGGUGAUACAAACUGCCAGGGGAAUUUAAGCACAGAUGAUUAAUGCAUAGUAAGGUAACCCUUGGACUAGCAGAGCUGCUGUUCCUGUGGAAAGAGUGCCUUGUAAUAGCUCUUUUAUAUAAGAGCAGUGAGACGUUCUGGCCUGGGAAGUGCCAUGGUUUGAGUUCAAUAUUUUCCUUAAAAAUGCGGAAAGUGAGGUGGGCACUGGAGGCAAAAUGCAGAACAACCCACCAUGGACCAGAUUGAGCAGACCCACAGAGGUGAGGCUGCAGGCAGGUGGUCUGCUUUGCCUAUGCAUAGAUCUGGUCCAGCAAAGAAAAUAUUCUCCAUAGACAUCGGCCUGUUGGCCUGCUUCUGCCUUUUGGAAGGUAAAGAGGGGAGCUUCAUUUAAAGAGGCUGUAAGAACAUGGAAACUGCUCUAUCGUGUAGAGAGGGGAAGAGCUGAAUUCAGGUGAAAAAGAAUUAUUUCAGUCUUCCCUGGGAUGGGUAGAUCCAGGAAAUUUGUCUCAUGAGGAUUAGAAGUGCUGCCAUCUGCAAUACAGACAUUUCUAUCAGCGGAUAUGACCAGGAAAACCUACUGUUUCUUUCACGUACCUGUGAGUUUCAUGACAGGGCUGGAUCUUCAGGGGGGACGCCUGAGCAGGGCAGGGAUCCCAUAAAGCUCUAGCAAGGACCACAGCGGUGAGGAAGGACACGCUGCACCACCGCGUACAUCGUGCCCUGCAAGGGAACCCGCAUGCCAGCCAGGAACCUACUGAAGACUACUUUGAAGUUAAGUCCUGUGGGUUUUUUUGUCCUUCUUUCAUGUCUCAGGAUGAUCUCAAUCCUAAGGUGAUUCUCAGUGGGAAUGAAAAUUUUAUUUACAAAAAUUCCUUGCAAAAAAGUGCCAAUUAAGUGCCAGCAAUUUCUGUAAUGCUCACUACAAUCACGGCACUGAUUAAAACCAAGAACUACCCCUGUAGAUACAUGGAGAAAAUCAUUCCUGGCCUCUCACAAAUUGCAAUUUAGUGAGCUGGCAAAAUACCAAGUGCCCAGCUCAUACCCGGCCAAUAAAAGCACCGGAACACUUUUCCAUGUAUUUCUCUGCUCAGGCUUUGUGUUAAUGGAACAGGACAUUCCAAUAACCUUUUAAAAGGUUAGACUAAUUCAGUUGUUUGGGUUUGCGAGAGCCAAGCUGUGUUAGUCCAGUUGUUGGGUAAUAAGCCGAGGGAGGCAGGGCAAUGUUUUAAGGUGUUUUCAUGAAAUAGUUGGUAUAAAAGAACAGGUGAGCUGACCAGUGGGGAAUUUGACUUGCUAACGGGACCAAGGGGACAGGCAGCUGCAAGGUUUUUGUCUCUCCUCAGCAUCACCAGUCCCUGAGCCUGGCCGCACCUGCGCAGCACUGGUACUAUCAUCCUGGGAUGAGAGGGAUGCAUGGGGAUGAAUAAUUCAGCUGCAAAUCAGCUCUCCAACUGCACAGCUUUUUCUUUUCUUUCUUUUUUUUUUUUUCCCUGCGUUUCUAUUUUUAAUUUAGAUACUCCCACAUGUGUUUUUGGUAGAUUAGAGACAUGAGAAAUCAGAGAAGAAGGCUGAUGCAGACAGGUAACGGAGCCUGGGGGUGGUGGAGGUUGGACCGACGCUGGCCUGGAGCAGGGCUGGGGCAGCCCUCCUGCCAAGGGCAGCACGGGGCUGCUGGCACGGUCCUGCGAGGGGACGAGCACCCCACGUCCUUUUUACUUCAGUGGGAGGUGAAAGUGCUCAGCAUCACUUGGAUUUAGAUCCCUAUGUCAGCAGUUAGAAAGAAGCAGUGGUCAGUGGAGGUGCUCUACCACGGGAUGGACUUCAGGGAAACUGUGUUCAGUUUUGAGGUCUGCUCUGCAUCUCUUCUAUGCAAAUCUUGUAAAUCCUCUGUCUUGUAGUUCCAAAUUUGUUUUUGAGAAAACCACUACCGCUGCUUCUUUUGGUCUUCCUUGUCUAGCUGUAAUCUCUAGGGAAGAAACCAUCACUGCUUGUUUAUAGCUAUAGAUUAUUCAUGGGGGAGCCUCUUAUGCUGCAUGGUAGCAUCUUCCUAUGACAUGUUUUAAUCAUGAAGAUCAAAAAGAGACAGUCGGCAGAAAGGUUUCAGAGAAUAAAAGUUUUCAGUGCUGCAGCUUAGUGAGGUGGUGAGGGACUACAGGAAACAAUGGGGAGGAAAAGCUGCCAAUUUGGGCAAAAGCAAAAUUAUCAUUCCAUGUUCGUCUUUGUGGAACUGAGAUUUCCAGAAGAGACUGGCUGGCAUUUUCAGUUGUACACUAGUUCCUGAAGAUUAUAAAACCAAAGAUCAAAGCAUAAGGGAAAUGCUGUCAUGGCUGAGAAUCUUUUUCUUUUGCUGCGUAUACAGAAUUUUCCAAUAAAUUACUGCAGAUGAGUCCUAAUACUGGUAAUAACUGUUUUUACAAAGUCUAGACUGCUCUUGCAAAUUCGUGGCUGGAAAAGGUAUUGGUGUGUUGCUGUGGACUCAAGGAAAGCCUUGAAAUAGAGAGUAGUUUGCUCUCUUCUUGUCAAGUCUCAGUUCUAAGUCAUGGGAUAUGGGGAGUGUCUUAAAAAUGAGGUAAAAGGGAAGCAAGUAUUUGAAACCCAAAAGUGGAGGAUCUAAUGUGAGAUCAUCCAGAAGUCUACUGCCAUGGCAGUGGAAAGCAUCUAGAUUUCCUGAGGCACUGUGUCCUGUGCUACACUUCCUCAGCAUCUAAAUAAAAGGCUAUAUGUAAAAAACAAACAACAAACACUAUUUCUUGAUCUUUGUGAACAAGAAAAACAGAAAACCCUGGAUUAACUGCUAAACUCAUUGCUAAACUGCUUGAUUUCAGGUAAGGAAAGCCUGCUGCUGCUCCCACAUUUUAGGGAGAAAGAAGGGAAACAGAAAGGAAAUCUGUAAUGAUGAGGAAGCCAACAUCCUUCACAACUGAAAUUUCAGGACUAAUUGCUCACAAAGCUUGAUGAUCAGUUUUAACUCCAUGAUAUUCAGGAACAAGAAGCACCAUUACUCUCAGUUCAGUAGGUAGGUCACUAAUCAACCAGCUAAAUGUCCAAAAACCUCCAUUUAUCAGGUACCUUUGGCUUCCUUACUUCGAAGAAACGGAGUGCCAACAGGUGCAUGCCACAGGGUGGCUUCUCACAGCAACAUUUUACAAAGAGUAGCUGCAAUCUUAAAAUACAAAACAACCUGCCAGACAUACAAAGGUUUCUCUUUCCUUCCUAAAACAUGAAUUUUAUCUCCAAAUACUACACUUGCCUGCAGCCCCCAAACAGCAAGUUUACAGAAGUGAAGCGGAGUCUGGCUUGAGAUAGGGAAUCCUUGGAGGCACUAAAGCAGGAAUGGAUUGCUUUAUAUCAUUAGAAAGCCAAGGCUGUCUACUUUCCUAAGGGAUAUAAAGCAUUCAGUGUGCAUCUGGUAUUUCAGAAGAUACUGAGCCACAGCACUGCCCCAGAAUAAUCUUUUGCAUAUGCAUUGCAGGCCAUUUUAGAGCUUCUAAACUUUUAUCAAAAAUUGAAUUAAUUUUCUUCUCUCUAAUGGCAUGUCUAAAGGCAUGUUGGAGACAUCCUACACACCUUUUUACCCACCUGUUUCUCCAUCACUCCCUUCAUAUUUAAAGAAAGACAGGCACUAAAAAUCCUGGACAGUCCUUAAGAAAUCUUCUGAGUAUCCCAUUAGUGUAAAAGCAGUGCUAAUGUGCACUGGGGAUUCUAGGUGUCAAGCUACCUUCUACUUUUAAUUCAUUCAGUGGGAUUCUAUACAUUAAAGAGUAGAAAACAACAUUAAAAUUAAACAAAAAUUAAGAAUUAACUAAGGUAACAAUAUAAGUACUGGACUUGCAAAAAACAUCAAAACUAAACAUUAUGCACACUCCCUAGACUUAGGAAUGUUAGGAAAUACUAUGGCCAAAAUAAAUAAAAGAACACCUUUAGAAGUAAGAAGACUCAAAAGUAGGAAUCUGCUUGUAUGGGCUGUAUAUACAGAGUACCCAAAUGAUAUCUUGGCAUUUUGUUCUCUUCAUGCAAACAUUUUUUUUACAAGUUCAGGCUGAAACAAAAGAAGCUUGAUUUGACUACUGAAGCAACCCUGAACUCCCCACAUGGGACACAAAGACAAGAAACCUUGACAGGUCACCUCAGCAUCACUGUGGGUCUGCAUAGCUAGAAGCAAAACUUGCCUUGAAUUCCAGAAUAUAAUUUGGCAUUGUUGAGUUUAUUUAUGGCAACAGAAUCUAAAAUGAGCCUUACUCUCCAAAGAGACACCCUCAACUGUUAAAAAAUUGCAGUCAGGUAAAUAGCCUUUCAUUGGGGAAAUACAACUACUUAACAUUUAAACUAUAUUUUCUUUUUUUAUACAUAUAGCAUAAAAAUAUUGAUCAUCUAUUUAACAGCAAUAUACUCCAUUUUCCUAUAUAGUUUUUGUGACAUCUGUAUUUUUUCUGACGUUCUUUAUUUCCAGCUACAAGGAGAAAAUGAGUGGCAGGUUUUAUAGCAUCAAAUCCUGAAAAUGCUCAGUUAAUUGGUAUUUAGGAAUUGCAAUCCAGAGCAGUUAAUCCUUUCAUUAGUUUUCUUAUCAUUGGGAAGCACAAAAAUUUCUGUCUAGUACCAAUGGAUUUGAAUUUUAUAUGUAAGAUUGCUAACAACCAUGAUCAUUCUAUGGAGUGGACUUAAUAUCUCCAUAGUCUACAUGGCAUUAAAAUAUAUCUGUUUGAUAAUAACACCAAUAAGGUAAUAAAAAUGGCAAAAUAAAUAAAUAAAAAGGACUAAAGUUAAAUCAUAGAUGAUCAUUAGGAAAGACUGUCAGACUUCAAACAGCAUCCACAAUACUUAUACCAACCCUUUUUUGUUUCCUUUGCAAAAUAAAUUAAAUUAAAAAUUCCUUUAACAGGACUCAGAGCUCCAAACAGUGCUAAUGAAAAAUAAGGUAUCAUGAGACUGAAGAGGAUCAUAAUAGCAUCAUAACUUUUCCAGCUGUAAUAUCUGCAAUAUUCUAAAGUGGUACAAUAUUCUCUUUGCUGGACUGUGAGAUUGGGAGCUGUCAUCCUCUCUCCCCUACGUACACCAUCCCUGACAAAAUGGUUUGCUGGGUUCAGUAUCUAAGUGUUCUUGUGCUCGUCCUGCUUGGGCUCUCCCGGCUAAAUCGUCUUCACAAUCCCCAGACCUGGGAUCCCUGUGGCUUUCAAGCUUCAGGCGUUGGAGCAGUUGCAGACUACACCGCUGAUCCAAACCCCUUCUGGGACCUGGGGCUCCGAGACCAGCAUUUGUUUCCCCAUUCUGCUUUGUGAUUGGGCUGAGUCUGACUUCUGGCAGCUGGCUAUUAGCAACUUCACUCCUCCUAGCACUUUCUCAUUUUUCAUCUCUUGUUUUUAUUGAUGAUGGAGUCCUUAUUGUGUGAGUGAAGUGUGGCGCACAGACUUGCACAAAGCAUCACACCAUUUGUCAUGAAAUACGAGGCUGUUUUUAUGCACUGCUGGCUUUUCUGCAGACUCUCCUCCCCACACAGGCAUGACGGGAAGCAGCAGACUGGUAAAGGAUCACACAACAAUAAUUUUAAAAUGCAGAGAUGUCCUGCAGCCAUCUUUACAACAGCCCACAUGCCCAGAGGACACAGCUGAACCAAGUGUUCACAAAAGCUAUCCUCAUGAGAGACUUGCUCUGUUCUUUGGUUACUCUGCAUUGCCACUGGAUGAGCCUUGCCUCUUAGCGAAAAGCUUUCCUCAGCUAAAACAGGUCCUAGCAAAAACUGCCCCUAAUCCCAUGCCCAGGGUGUGCUCCAGAGGGCCCUGGGUGGGGUUCCUCCCAAGUACAGCUCCUCACGGGCCCAGGGAGAAAGUGACCCACCCAAUUUGGCUACCUGAGCUAUAAAAUGGGCAAAGUGUGCUGCCACAACCAGUGCUAACUCCCUGUCCAUGACCAUUGUUCCUGUGCUUAGGACAUUUUUGCAUGAAUUAAUUGUUUUUUUAAGUCUAUGAGGAAUGAAUCAAAGUGUAUACCUUGCUGAAACUGCAUAUCGUUUGUUUGAAUCUGCUUUUUGGGACAGGAAGGCAUGGAAUAUCCUCUCCUUCCCAUCUCUAGCAGGUCAUUUCACUAUGAGGGAAGAAUGCUGAAUGAGCUUAUCCCGUAUAUCUGGUAUACCUGCAAGCCACACAAAGCAGUUUUGAUGAAAAACGUGCAAAAGAACCUCCCCCUCUGCCAGAAGUUACGUUUUCUUUUUUAUUGAAGUAUAAUGAUAUUUGGGGGGUGGGGUAGACGUAAAUGAUUUAGAGAAGUGUUAGCUUUGAGUUACACCUGUCAGACCUUCAGCUUCCCCACUGUACUGUAGGAUUUAUAGCACAGCUGUAUCUGCCUUGCUUUGUGACUCAAAGUUAAUGUCUAAAGAGCAAUGCUCCCAUCUUAAACGUUACUUCAGAAGGUAAUUCAGAUUUUCUUCAGGAAAUAAGGACUUGAGUGACUAAUUACAGUACUUCAGGGGGCCAGAUCCUGGCUUUCCACAGAGAUCACGUCACAUCACCUUUCCUGUUAACGGGUUGAAUUUUGUCCUAAAAGUUCCCAGAGUUAUUGGAAGAGGGAGGUUUCCUCUCUAGGGGAAACUUGUUACAUGACCUCUUUGCUGCAAUACUGAGAACCUCGUGUUGCUUUCCAGCCUAACUGUAAUACGUCUAUUUUUUUUCCCCCUUAUUAUUAUUCUUUUCCUUAAAUAGCUCUUUGUUCCUGGUAUGAACCCAACCAACAUAGUCUUAGAAAGAAAUCAGUAUCCUACCAUAGCGCUUUUUAUAUAUAUAUAUAUAUAUAUAUAUAUCUCUAAGCAGCGCUUUAUGUCACCUCUCAUAUGACACGCUUCGUGAUACCUCUCUGCACUUGUUGCAGAUGAACUCCUAUUUCUUACAGGUGACAGGACUUGUAUGCUGUGCUGCAGAAAUGCAUUCAUCCGUGCUUUCCAUAAUGAAACUUUUUCUUUCUGCUGGAAAUACCUUGUCUGAAGUAUGCUAUGAGCACGCACACCUAUGUGACAGCUUCAUCCCAUGGUCAAUGCAUAGUCAUCCGGUGAUCACCUGCGACACUCAGAAUUCUCUCUGCCUGAGCCAUCUCUCUUCUCACUUAGAGAAGAAAUUCCUCAUUAACCCUGAAGUGCACACCCUUACACACUGUUCUAAUCAAACAUUUCUUCCCAUUUAUGAACCUGUCAAAGUUAAAAAGGUUUUAAUAUAUGAUGGUUGCCUUCUGUAUUAGCAGUGUCCCUUCAUCUUCUCAUUUCAAUAGCACACCUACUUCAUAUGCCAAUGUAGUUAAUGGAAACAUUACCAGCGCUGGUCCUAAAAUUGACCCUUGGGGAACACUUGCAGUAACUUGCUUCUUGGCUCUUCUCUUUUCUUCCUUUUCCUCUGCCCUUUUCCAUCAAUCAGUUCUUCCCCACCUUUCAUGCAUGUUCUCCGUUAAUCUCAAUCUUUUGCUUCAUUAAUAUUUUCCCAUUUAGGAGUGUAUCAAGUGCUUUACUAAGGUCCAAAGGAAAUUUACCACAUAUUCUAUUUUGGAAAAUCCAUUAUCUCAUUUAAGGAAAGCUAUCAGGUUAUUCUGACACCGCAUUCCUCUGGUAAAUCCAGGCUCCUUUCAUCUCGUUUUCUGUUUAACUAGAAAGGAUAAUUCAAUCAUUCUUUCUCCUUUGGUAAUUAUGUUGUAUGUAGAAAUACAGAAGAAAAAGAAAAGAGGUGAAUCACAUUUAAGUCCAUGUGGAGCAUAUUUACAUCAAUAUACAUUACAUAUAAAGUCCACAUAUAUGUGUGUGUGCAUAUGUUCGUUAUUUUUAUAUAUGCAGACAACAUAGACACAUACAUGUAU